RNAcentral lists this long non-coding RNA (502 nucleotides) under Mytilus galloprovincialis (Mediterranean mussel). Lineage: Eukaryota; Metazoa; Mollusca; Bivalvia; Mytilida; Mytilidae. The record is from RNAcentral.
GGAUUUUAGUUGUGACGUUAUUUAAGUUAUGACGUCAUAUGCAAUGUAAACAAAGAAACGCUAUCAUCAGGUAACGUUUUUUCAUAUCAAGGAAUUAUUAAAAAUGAGAUUGGUAUUGCGUUCCUUCCUAUUUUAUACUAGACUGAUAAAUAUAUAUUUUACUCAAAGUUUCAUACAAACGAGACCGGAAAAGGAAGUACAUUGUAUAUUUCUGCGCAGAUGCGGGAAUUCAAAACAUGACAUUAAACUAGAGGCUCUUAAGAGCCUGUGUCGCUCACCUUGGUCUAUGUGCAUAUUAAACAAAAGACACAGAUGGAUUAAUGAUAAAAUUGUGUUUUGGUGAUGGUGAUGUGUUUGUAGAACUUACUUUACUGAACAUUCUUGCUCCUUACAAUUAUCUCUAUCUAUAAUGAACUUGGCCCAUUAGUUACAGAGGAAAAUAUUUUGAUAAAAUUUACAAAAAUUGUUAAAAAUUGACUGUUAAGUGUAAUAACUCCUUAAG